UACGAAGGGGGCGAGCGUUGUUCGGAUUUACUGGGCGUAAAGGGCGCGUAGGCGGCCCUCCUUGUCGCGUGUGAAAGCCCCGGGCUCAACCUGGGAAUGGCAAUGGAUACUGGCAAGCUAGAGUGCGGUAGAGGGUAGUGGAAUUCCCGGUGUAGCGGUGAAAUGCGUAGAGAUCGGGAGGAACACCAGUGGCGAAGGCGGCUACCUGGACCAGCACUGACACUGAGGCACGAAAGCGUGGGGAGCAAACAGG
This 253-nucleotide ribosomal RNA is filed under the name uncultured bacterium. RNAcentral's name for it is "partial 16S ribosomal RNA". It matches the Rfam family "Bacterial small subunit ribosomal RNA", at positions 524 to 776 of the family's 1533-position model. The record is from RNAcentral.